CAGUAAACGGCGGCCGUAACUAUAACGGUCCUAAGGUUAACAAAUCGCUAGCCUUAGUAAAACUGAACUAUAUGCGGGAAACUCCUCAUACAGUUCCGGCUACUUGUUUCAAAUAUAUUUGCAUCAAGUAACAAUGCCGGAAACAGGGGGACAAUCCGCAGGGAAGAUUCUCCGCUUCAGGCGGAGGAAACCCUCAGAGACUUAAUGUUGGAAAUAGGAAGUAUGAACUUAGAUUCACAGUGGGUUGUAGGCUUUGUGGACGGUGAAGGCUGUUUUUAUGUGGGGAUUAAUUCCCAUCCAGACAUGAUUACUGGCUUUCAGGUUCUACCAGAGUUUACUGUAGUGCAACACGAACGAGACAUUCAAGUUUUGCACGCCCUUAAGCAAUUUUUUGGCUGUGGUGUGGUUCGUCAGAAUCAUGCUGAUAGACAGUGCUUCAGGGUAAGGAAGUUAGAGGAUUUGCGUGAAAAAAUUAUUCCAUUCUUUCAUAAACAUCCUCUCAAAACUCGUAAAAGUGUAGACUUCCAUACUUUUUGCCGCAUUGUAAACUUGAUGACUCAAUCUGAGCAUCUUACUAGGCAGGGUUUAGACCACAUUAAAGCCCUUGCAGAAACUAUGAAUCGUAAAGGCAUAAAUUCCUAUUAAGAUAAAGUCCGUCUAGUAGUGAAAGCUAUUAGGUAAAACGAGCGAAAUUCCUUGUCGGGUAAGUUCCGACCCGCACGAAAGGCGUAACGAUUUGGACGCUGUCUCGGAGAGAGACUCGGUGAAAUAGCAUUGUCCGUGAAGAUGCGGACUACUUGCACCUGGACAGAAAGACCCUAUGAAGCUUUACUAUAACUUGGAAUUGGGUUCGGGCUUCUCUUGCGCAGGAUAGGUGGGAGACUGAGAAGUUGCCCUUGUGGGGGCAAUGGAGUCAACGGUGAGAUACCACUCUGGAGAGGCUAGGAUUCUAACCCUGACCCGUGAUCCGGGCGGGGAACAGUUUCAGGCGGGUAGUUUGACUGGGGCGGUCGCCUCCUAAAAGGUAACGGAGGCGCACAAAGGUUCCCUCAGGCUGGUCGGAAAUCAGCCAAAGAGUGUAAAGGCAUAAGGGAGCUUGACUGCAACACCAACAAGUGGAGCAGGGUGGAAACACGGUCUUAGUGAUCCGACGGCACUGCGUGGAAGGGCCGUCGCUCAUCGGAUAAAAGUUACUCUAGGGAUAACAGGCUGAUCUCCCCCAAGAGUCCACAUCGACGGGGAGGUUUGGCACCUCGAUGUCGGCUCAUCGCAUCCCGGGGCUGGAGCAGGUCCCAAGGGUUCGGCUGUUCGCCGAUUAAAGCGGUACGUGAGCUGGGUUUAGAACGUCGUGAGACAGUUCGGUCCCUAUCUGCCGUGGGUGUCGGAGACUUGAGAGGAUCUGUCCCUAGUACGAGAGGACCGGGAUGGACGCACCUCUGGUGCACCAGUUGUCACGCCAGUGGCACAGCUGGGUAGCCAAGUGCGGACGGGAUAACCGCUGAAAGCAUCUAAGCGGGAAACCCACCUCAAAACCAGGUCUCCCCGAGGGCCGUGAUAGACCAUCACGUCGAUAGGUCGCAGGUGUACGCAUGGCAACAUGCUCAGCCAAGCGAUCCUAAUCGCCCGAUAGGCUCACUCCA
This 1640-nucleotide ribosomal RNA is filed under the name hot springs metagenome. RNAcentral's name for it is "bacterial LSU rRNA". It matches the Rfam family "Bacterial large subunit ribosomal RNA", at positions 1921 to 2925 of the family's 2925-position model. The record is from RNAcentral.